This 762-nucleotide long non-coding RNA is filed under the name Anolis carolinensis (green anole). RNAcentral describes it as "lncRNA (ENSACAG00000040867.1)". The record is from RNAcentral. Lineage: Eukaryota; Metazoa; Chordata; Lepidosauria; Squamata; Anolidae.
AAGUGAUUGGAUGGGGGCCAAUAAACCACUGUGAUCGAGACAAGAUGGAUGCACUGUCAAGGCAUGGCUUGUAUACCGACAUAAAUUGCUCUAGAAAUGGCUACACUUCCUCCCACAGCAAGGUUGAAGAAUCUGCUGCAACACAGAUGAGUCAAGACAGCUUUGGCUUUCUCACAAUGAAGAACAAGCAACAUCUUAGCAAGAAAGGCUGUGAUUUCAUGGAUAAGAAGAAGGAAUGGAGCCAGAAAAGGCAAAGACAUUGUCAUUCAGACGAGCAUUUGGAAACUCGCCGUUGGAGGGAUACCAUUGUGUGCUGUCUUUUCGCUUUUAAAAUGUUUUUCUUAGUACCUUUCCUUGGUAUGUUUUUCUUGGUGCUUCCCAUUGGAUUGUGUUUUGGUAUAUUAAUUCAUUUUGUGUUUCAUUAUAAUUUUUCAGCAUUAAUAUAAGUUGCCCUGAGACCCAUUUUUGGAUAUAAAUCCAACAAAUAAAUAAUCAGAUCUUGAAUAGAUAGAGGGCAGAGCCGGUCCAACAAUGAGGCAAAUUAAGCGGUUGCUUGGGACGCAAAACAUAUGGGGGCACAGUCAAGACUGCUUUUUCUGUUGAUUUGUUGUAAAAUAUGAUGUUUUGGUGCUUAAUUUGUAAAAUCUUAAUGUAAUUUGAUGUUUAAUAGACUUUUCCUUAAUCCCUCCUUAUUAUCCAACAUUUUCACUUAUCCAACGCUUUUAUUUUUCAGUGAUUGGUUUGGGGGGGUGCCAAAAUUCU